RNAcentral lists this ribosomal RNA (391 nucleotides) under uncultured bacterium. Its description in RNAcentral is "bacterial SSU rRNA". It matches the Rfam family "Bacterial small subunit ribosomal RNA", at positions 28 to 420 of the family's 1533-position model. The record is from RNAcentral.
GACGAACGCUGGCGGCGUGCUUAACACAUGCAAGUCGAGCGGUAAGGCCCUUUCGGGGGUACACGAGCGGCGAACGGGUGAGUAACACGUGGGUGACCUGCCCUCAGCUCUGGGAUAAGCCCGGGAAACUGGGUCUAAUACCGGAUAUGACUCCAUGACGCAUGUUGUGGGGUGGAAAGCCUUGUGCGGCUGAGGAUGGGCCCGCGGCCUAUCAGCUUGUUGGUGGGGUGAUGGCCUACCAAGGCGACGACGGGUAGCCGGCCUGAGAGGGCGACCGGCCACACUGGGACUGAGAUACGGCCCGGACUCCUACGGGAGGCAGCAGUGGGGAAUCUUGCGCAAUGGGCGAAAGCCUGACGCAGCGACGCCGCGUGAGGGAUGACGGCCUCGG